UACGUAGGGUCCAAGCGUUAUCCGGAAUCACUGGGCGUAAAGCGUUCGUAGGCGGGUAUUUAAGUGAGAUGGGAAAGCGUGUGGCUCAACCAUAUCGUUGUGUCUCAUACUGGGUACCUGGAGGAAGGCAGAGGCAAGUGGAAUUGGCAGUGUAGCAGUGAAAUGCGUAGAGAUUGCCAGGAACACCAAUGGCGAAGGCAGCUUGCUGGGCCUUUUCUGACGCUGAGGAACGAAAGCGUGGGGAGCGAACAGG
This 253-nucleotide ribosomal RNA is filed under the name uncultured bacterium. RNAcentral describes it as "partial 16S ribosomal RNA". It matches the Rfam family "Bacterial small subunit ribosomal RNA", at positions 524 to 776 of the family's 1533-position model. The record is from RNAcentral.